RNAcentral lists this unclassified non-coding RNA (241 nucleotides) under Hevea brasiliensis (rubber tree). The record is from RNAcentral. Lineage: Eukaryota; Viridiplantae; Streptophyta; Magnoliopsida; Malpighiales; Euphorbiaceae.
CAUCAACAUGCCUCUGUAUCAAGGCCUUUUCCUAAGGAAUGAUGGGGGCAAGUUGCCAGGUUCUCUGGCUUUCAAGUCAUUUGUUGUAGCUCUUCUUGCUUGCAGUAGCUUCACUCUCCUGUAUUGAUUCUAGCUUUUGGCUAUUUACGUAUUCUGUAAUUUACUGAUACAUGUAUCCAGCCCUUUUCCUAAGGCUGUACAGUACUGAUACAUGUCUUCUAUUUUAUACUUCCUAAGAUAA